GCGGGGGUUGCCGAGUGGACAAAGGCGGUGGAUUUAGGGUCCACUCCCGUAGGGGUUCGUGGGUUCGAAUCCCACCCCCCGCA
Molecule: transfer RNA, 83 nt
Filed under: Archaeoglobus sp.
Lineage: Archaea; Methanobacteriati; Methanobacteriota; Archaeoglobi; Archaeoglobales; Archaeoglobaceae
Also listed under: 1 other name
Description: tRNA-Leu
Rfam family: tRNA
About the family: Transfer RNA (tRNA) molecules are approximately 80 nucleotides in length. Their secondary structure includes four short double-helical elements and three loops (D, anti-codon, and T loops).
Source: RNAcentral